CGACCGAUCUGUCCUCGAGAUAGGACCCGA
Molecule: small RNA, 30 nt
Filed under: Bombyx mori (domestic silkworm)
Lineage: Eukaryota; Metazoa; Arthropoda; Insecta; Lepidoptera; Bombycidae
Description: ovarian small RNA-14183
Source: RNAcentral